RNAcentral lists this ribosomal RNA (639 nucleotides) under uncultured bacterium. RNAcentral's name for it is "bacterial SSU rRNA". It matches the Rfam family "Bacterial small subunit ribosomal RNA", at positions 8 to 692 of the family's 1533-position model. The record is from RNAcentral.
AGAGUUUGAUCCUGGCUCAGAACGAACGCCGGCGGCAGGCCUAACACAUGCAAGUCGAUCGGGCCCUUCGGGGUUACGAGGCGCACGGGUGAGUAACGCGUGGGUAUCUGCCCUGGAGUGGGGGAUAACCGCUGGAAACGGCGGCUAAUACCGCAUACGCCCUGAGGGGGAAAGCUUUGGCGCUCCAGGAGGAGCCCGCGUCCGAUUAGCUGGUUGGUGGGGUAAAGGCCUACCAAGGCUGCGAUCGGUAGCUGGUCUGAGAGGAUGAUCAGCCACACUGGAACUGAGACACGGUCCAGACUCCUACGGGAGGCAGCAGUGGGGAAUCUUGGACAAUGGGCGCAAGCCUGAUCCAGCCAUGCCGCGUGAGUGGAGAAGGCCCUAGGGUUGUAAAGCUCUUUCGGCGGGGAAGAUGAUGACGGUACCCGCAGAAGAAGCCCCGGCUAACUCCGUGCCAGCAGCCGCGGUAAUACGGAGGGGGCUAGCGUUGUUCGGAAUUACUGGGCGUAAAGGGCGCGUAGGCGGACGAUCAAGUCAGGGGUGAAAGGCCCGGGCUCAACCUGGGAACGGCCUUUGAAACUGAUUGUCUCGAGUCCGGGAGAGGAGAGCGGAAUUCCCAGUGUAGAGGUGAAAUUCGUA